Molecule: ribosomal RNA, 288 nt
Filed under: uncultured bacterium
Lineage: Bacteria
Description: partial 16S ribosomal RNA
Rfam family: Bacterial small subunit ribosomal RNA
Source: RNAcentral
AACGAACGCUGGCGGCAGGCCUAACACAUGCAAGUCGAACGGGACCUUCGGGUCUGGUGGCGGACGGGUGAGUAACGCGUGGGAACGUGCCCUUUGGUUCGGAAUAGCCUCGGGAAACUGGGGGUAAUACCGGAUACGGUCGAGAGACGAAAAGAUUUAUCGCCGAAGGAUCGGCCCGCGUUGGAUUAGGUAGUUGGUGGGGGUAAAGGCCUACCAAGCCGACGAUCCAUAGCUGGUUUGAGAGGAUGAUCAGCCACACUGGGACUGAGACACGGCCCAGACUCCUAC